This 589-nucleotide long non-coding RNA is filed under the name Mustela putorius furo (domestic ferret). RNAcentral describes it as "lncRNA (ENSMPUG00000028391.1)". Lineage: Eukaryota; Metazoa; Chordata; Mammalia; Carnivora; Mustelidae. The record is from RNAcentral.
CUUACUUCUCAUUAAAUCUCUUACCUCAUGCUGUCGUAAACAUGGGUCAGACUCAGCCCUUGGUCAGGGCCCCAUAAUUGGCUUAUUGGAAUUGGCUGCCCGGAAUGCCUGCCCCAGGUGUAGACAGAAUAAUGACCUGAAAAGCUGGCAGGGUCUCCUGGAUUUUGACAUUUGCUGCGUGGGUUCUCCAUAUGCUGUUGCCAGUUACUGAAUCAGGAGGAAAAGCAAGAGCCUGCUGGUCACAGCUCUGGGCACUGGAGAACAACGCAGAACAAAACAGGAAGAAAACAACAACAUUGGUGGAAGGAGGAUUAUCUGAAAUUAGAGGGAAAGCUGUACAGCAGAUGUGGAGAGUUGAGUCUUCUAGCCACGAGUUGAAGCCGCUGCAGAUCUUUGAAAUCUAUGUGUCUGUGUGUAUUUCUCCUUGACCAGGUUCAACUGCAUGUGGUUUUCUGCCUUCACUGAUGUUUCUUCCUGAUAAAACCACAAAUAAGCAAAUGUGACAUUUACAGUAUACUUAAAUUAUUCCUUUGUAUAUCAAUCACCUUGGAACAAAUUUAUAUUUUCACAGCAAGUAUUAUAGUAAAAC